GCCCGCGGGACCCGAAGGCCCAGCCGGGCUGCAAGCCAUCCGGGCCUCCGGGGGGCGCCGGGCAGACCCCGAUCCUCCCCAGGGUGUCCCCCUAAGCGCGGCGCAGCGGACGAGCGGCCCCCUCUGGCCCUGCUGAGGCUCGGCUGGGCGGCAGACACCUGCCAAAGCGACCUGGGGACGGCGGGGUCGGAGCAAUGUACUUGGGGUUCCUGCUGUGGCCCAGUGGAUAAAGAAUCUGACUGCAGCGGCUCGGGUGGAUGCUGAGCACAAGUUUGAUUCCCAGCCAAAGCAGUGGGUUAAAGGAUGCCACGUUGCAGUGGUUGUGAUGCAAGUCACAAUUUCGGCUCAGAUUCUAUUCUGGCCUGGGAACUUCCAUAUGCCAUGGGUACAGCCAUAAGAAAAGCAAGCAAGCAAGCAAUGUACUUUCGUGUUGUUCAGGCCAAGUGUUUAAACAAUGACAUUGCAAAGGCUGCACCCAAAGGAAGAUAACAGGACAAGAGGAGCCAGAGAGAGAGGAGCGGCUGUCCCAGGCCAGGGAAAGAGUGAACUUUCUGGCAGACUGUCAGAAGAACCACCUCAUCGUGUGUCUCUUUAUAGGAAAAUUGUCAACCGGUCAGGAGGACUGUGGAAAGUCUGGGAUGAAGCAAGAGCCCCCCUUUGUGACUGCCCUCUCCUCCACACUCCCCUGCAGCUCUGGGUCUUUUCAUAAAGUCUUCCUUCCCUUUGGUGUUGCCCCAGAAGAGCCAGGAGUCAGGGUUUCUCAGGAAAUGGUUUAUUGAGGACUACUCGUAGGAUGAGGAGAUGAGGAAAACAGGAUACAGGAGAACAAGCCCCCAAGCAGGUGGCCAAGCCUGAAACUAACUUCCCACUUCAGUGCCAGGGGGGCAGCUCUUUAUACCCCAUCCCUGCUCCUGCCCCAUUCCCACCCCAGCCUCUUUGUCAGGGAGCCAGACGACAUGUCUCCAGGCAAAGGUACAGCCUUUGACAGCCAGUCUUUACAGCCGCUGCUGGAAAGGGGAUCCCAGCUAAGGAAAGAGGUUCCAGAAAGGAGAGCAUCUUCAACUGCAUGACUCAGUCUCGGAAGAAACUUCCUUAGUCUGUUUCUCCUUUCUCCGUUCUUCCUAUUGAUUGCUUUAGUCUAGGUUUUAAGGAGUUUGGAGGGGGUUGUUUUUGUUUCUUUCUUUUUUUUUUUUUUAAUUUGAGCUUUUAUACCAGUCUGCUUCUAAUUAAUUUUCAAACCAACACAAGAAUUUUUUUUCUCAAACGCAAAUCAGAUCAGAUUAUUGCCCGGUUCUAAAACUUCAAGGAAACCCCACUGUUUAUAGAAAAAGAGGGAGAGUCUUAACAUCACAUGACUCUUUUAAAAUAAUUUUCAUACAUUUAUUAUUUUUCCUCCUCAAAGCAACUCCUCUGAAGUGGGUAUUAUUAUCCACUUAUUACGUAUGUGAAAACUGAAAUUCAGAAAGGGAGCUUGCUCACAUGCACGAAGCAUAAAUGACAGUACAGGUAUAAUUUCAAGUGAAGUCUCCCUCCAAGUUCUCCACUCUUUGUACUUGAUUUUAUCUAACAGUCAGCAUUUCUCAAAAGUUGAACCCAUCCACUCUGCUCACUGUGUUUCCCCCAUGCAACCUAUGCUAUAGUCCAGGCUGCCACAUAUAAUUGGUCAGGUUGUGCACUGCACAAAGUUACCACAUUUUGAGGAACAUUGUUCAAAGCAGAGGCAUAUUUGCUAUUUUGAAAUAUCUCUGAAUUUUAUUACGCUUUUGUUGGCUUGGAAGACAGGAGAUUUGUGUAUUUAUUACGAUAUUUUUUUCAAAUGAAAGAAUGGGUCUUUUGCAAAAGGUUAGAUAUAUACUAGCUGCUUUGACUUAUGAAGGAAGAUUAACUCUGAUAAUGAAUAGUACCUAAAAUAACUUGGGUUUUUAAAUAAGAACCUGGUUUUCUGGCACACUGAUCAGAGUAUAUCGUUAAGUUUUACAAACACAGUCAGUCAAUUCUCGAUGUUUGUGGACUCCACAUUUGCAAAUUCAUCUACUCACCAAAAUUUAUUCACAACCCCAAAAUCAAUACUCACGGAGUUUUCUCAGUCUUUCACAGACGUGCACAGAACAGUAAGAAAUCUGAGUCAACCACAUGUUCCCAGCUGAAAUCAAACAAAGCGGAGCUCUGCUUUCUUGUUUCAGCUCUCAAGCUGUAAACAAGUGUCCUUUUUGUGGUUUAUUUAGUUCCACUUUUUUUUUUUUUGAAUUUUUGUGGUGUGUGUGUGUGUGUGUGUGUAAUUUUGAUAUUUAAAAUGGCUUCCAGGCAUAGUGCUGAGGUGCUGUGCACUUUUCUUAAGCCAAAAAGGUUGUGAUGUGCCUUACAGAGAAAACAGCAUGUUAGCUAAGCUUCAUUUAGGUAUGAAUUACAGUGCUGUUGACGCCAUGAGUUCAGUGUUAAUGAGUCAACAACGUAUAUUAAGCAGCGUCUUUAAACAGAAACACACAUAAAAUAAGGUCCUUAUUGACCAGUUAGUGAAGAUGCUAUGACAAAAAGCUCAGUCACUAAGCCUGUAUUUCCCCUGGGAGCAGUGGAUCGGUGUUGGCUAAUUCAGUGUUUAAAGCAACUGUAUAGAAUAUACACUGUGAAUAACAGGAAUCUACUGUAUUCUACUGGAAUUAGCCACUGAUUACAUUUGAUACUCACAUUGCAGUUUGAUCAUCUGCUGUUUGUUUUUUGUUCAGGAUGGUAUCUUUGAACUUCCAAUUUAAAUCUACAAGUAUCUUCAUUAUGACCACUGCCAUUAAAUAACAUGAUAAAGAGAUCAUUAAAUGGGAUAAGCCAAAAGUACUUCCUGACAAUUCAGAUACAUAACCAUGUAAUACAAAAUUUUUAAUUACAUAUACUUAUUAAAAAUGAUGCUAUAAAACUGGAUUGUGAUGAUCAUUGUACAACUAUAAAUGUAAUAAAGUCAUUGAGUAAUAAAAAAUAAAAAUAAAAAAUUAUCCACCUGAAGUAAAAAUAGAUUGUUCCACAACAAUCCAUAGGUGCAAAGUUUUGGAAGUUUAUCACCCAGGAUGAAAUGAAAAAAAAUCUGUGAAUCUUUGUUCAUUUUUCCUGUCUCAAAGUAUUUUUUAUUCUACCUAUAUUUUAAACUUUUGGGGGACGAAAAAAUGACAUGAAGAAUAAAAACAAGUUC
Molecule: long non-coding RNA, 3178 nt
Filed under: Sus scrofa (pig)
Lineage: Eukaryota; Metazoa; Chordata; Mammalia; Artiodactyla; Suidae
Description: lncRNA (ENSSSCG00050073308.1)
Source: RNAcentral